This 496-nucleotide ribosomal RNA is filed under the name uncultured bacterium. RNAcentral's name for it is "partial 16S ribosomal RNA". It matches the Rfam family "Bacterial small subunit ribosomal RNA", at positions 28 to 506 of the family's 1533-position model. The record is from RNAcentral.
GAUGAACGCUGGCGGCGUGCCUAAUACAUGCAAGUCGAGCGAACAGACGAGGAGCUUGCUCCUCUGACGUUAGCGGCGGACGGGUGAGUAACACGUGGAUAACCUACCUAUAAGACUGGGAUAACUUCGGGAAACCGGAGCUAAUACCGGAUAAUAUAUUGAACCGCAUGGUUCAAUGGUGAAAGACGGUUUUGCUGUCACUUAUAGAUGGAUCCGCGCCGCAUUAGCUAGUUGGUAAGGUAACGGCUUACCAAGGCAACGAUGCGUAGCCGACCUGAGAGGGGGAUCGGCCACACUUGAACUGAGACACGGUCCAGACUCCUACGGGGGGCAGCAGGAGGGGAUCUUCCGCAAUGGGCGAAAGCCUGACGGAGCAACGCCGCGUGGGUGAAGAAGGUCUUCGGAUCGUAAAACUCUGUUAUUAGGGAAGAACAAAUGUGUAAGUAACUAUGCACGUCUUGACGGUACCUAAUCAGAAAGCCACGGCUAACUACGU